AUUUUCUCACUGACUUUUAUAUUCUAUUUUACAUCUCCUUUGUCGGUGAGAUACAUAGAAGAGGACUAAGAGAGAGAGUCUGAGUGGUUCUCGAUUUUUCCUUCUUUUCCCUUCACUGUUGGUUCGUUCUCUUCCUCAUCACCGACUAUCCUUCCACCGUCAUCAGUCACCGGCCAUCCUUCCCUCUGUCAGCGCCGAUCAUCUUCUGUGGUAUGGAAGUCAUCGGAUCUUCACCUUGGUCUGCUUCCUUGUUUCCUUUCUGCUCAUCUCUUCUACUUCACCCUCGAUCCAGCCACCCCUGUCCUUUGCUCUUCAACACGCUGCUGAUGAGAACAGGAGCUCCACUUGCCACCGCUGUGAUGGCCGCCUAAAACCACUGCAUUGUGGUGAAAAUCGAAUGUUAGUACAAAGCAUUGACCCUUGAGGACUAGUUUGGGAGUGAGUUAUGCACUUGAAAACUUUACAGAUGGAAAGGCUCAACUUGUAUUUCAACAUGUUCAUUGUGACGUUUUAUCAUUCAAUGGAGUGAAAGAAUUACUUUGGCAAGACCCAUUUGAUGUAAUUUGGGCCUUAUAUUAAAUCAAUGGUCUGGCCCUUGAUGCUCCACGUUGAUUAUAGGCAAGAUCUUCGCUUUUAUUAUAAGAUUGAAUAAUUGUGGGUAAGGAGUGCAAUUUCUUUGUUUGUAUUAUUGUUGUUCUUUGUUAGUGACCAAUUUUGGGUAGUCUCAAUUUUAGGAUACAUUCUCCUAAAUUUUUUUUUUACA
Long non-coding RNA from Prosopis cineraria, 763 nucleotides. RefSeq lists it as uncharacterized. The transcript is spliced from 3 exons. NCBI's taxonomy places the organism in Eukaryota, Viridiplantae, Streptophyta, Magnoliopsida, Fabales, Fabaceae. The record is from RefSeq and is a predicted model, not a curated record.